UUCGGCAAAAACCAGUAGCUUUGGCCAACACCCUAUAUAUGCGUUAAGAAAUUCAUCAAUGCGUAUAAAAAGUAAAUUUUGAACCCAGUGAUUAGUGUACUUAAGGUUGCCGUCCUAGAAUCUUAAACCCAGAAAGUUCAAAUCAUGGAUCUGGAUCCCAUUUAAUUCAAGUACUCAAAAUUGGCUUUUAGGACCAAUUAGGAUUUCUCUAGCUUUAGAUGUUUACUAUACAGUUUAUACUGAUGACUCGUAGCAAAGUGUUUAUGCCAACACCAGAUGAAAUUAGAUAUCUUUUUUUUCUCUGAGAGGAAGUAAUGUGUAACCUGUAGAUCUUAUUCCUUUGUUUCAUUUCAAAAAUUUCAAUUUGCUGACGAUUUCACGUGCAAUUGACUUUUGUAACCAUUACAUCUUUCUAGCUGUAUGUACUGAGCAAGAUGUUGUAGUGAAGUAAAGUUGCUAAUAAGUCUUCAGAAUGAUUGCAUGUGCAUGCAGUAGUUUACACAGGAUUUUGUGUAGGCAAUGUCAAUCUAUUGUCAUAAGUCGGUUUGUAUACAUAUUUGGAUGUGAGGCUGUGGGGUUCUAAUGGUUUACUUCUUAACCCGAAUUGAUGUUUACUUUGUACUCC
Molecule: long non-coding RNA, 625 nt
Filed under: Nicotiana benthamiana
Lineage: Eukaryota; Viridiplantae; Streptophyta; Magnoliopsida; Solanales; Solanaceae
Description: long non-coding RNA (NBEN_LNC033849)
Source: RNAcentral